RNAcentral lists this ribosomal RNA (254 nucleotides) under uncultured bacterium. Its description in RNAcentral is "partial 16S ribosomal RNA". It matches the Rfam family "Bacterial small subunit ribosomal RNA", at positions 524 to 776 of the family's 1533-position model. The record is from RNAcentral.
UACGUAGGCAGCAAGCGUUGUUCGGAGUUACUGGGCGUAAAGGGUGCGUAGGCGGCCCUGUAAGUAUGGUGUGAAAUCUCCCGGCUUAACUGGGAGGGUGCGCUAUAGACUGCGGGGCUCGAGUGUGGGAGAGGAAAGUGGAAUUCCUGGUGUAGCGGUGAAAUGCGUAGAUAUCAAGAGGAACACCUGAGGUGAAGACGGGUUGCUGGGCCGACACUGACGCUGAGUGCGCGAAAGCCAGGGGAGCAAACGGG